RNAcentral lists this microRNA (22 nucleotides) under Apis mellifera (honey bee). RNAcentral's name for it is "ame-miR-3718b-5p". Lineage: Eukaryota; Metazoa; Arthropoda; Insecta; Hymenoptera; Apidae. The record is from miRBase by way of RNAcentral.
UCGGGACAGGACAGGGGACAGA